This is a non-coding RNA of Epinephelus lanceolatus (giant grouper), 1344 nucleotides long. The record is from RefSeq and is a predicted model, not a curated record. NCBI's taxonomy places the organism in Eukaryota, Metazoa, Chordata, Actinopteri, Perciformes, Serranidae.
UCCUCUUCAGGCUCCUCUGAAGACGAUGUUGCAGAUGUCAGUCGUUCCUUUAAUCAACAACUGGACGAAGCGAGGAGUUCAGAUCCCUCUGGCUGAUGGGAUGGAUUUCAUUGAGGAGGUUGUUGAAUAUCACAAUGGUUUCAUUGUGAUUGGAGCAAAUCUUCACUUCACCAAAGGACUGAGAGAAAUGAUAUCAGGUGCCAAUCAGACAGAGACCAACAUGUAAACAUGUAAACAUCUACAGAUAUAUUUAUAGACACUGUGGACAUAUAACUCACUGUGUGAACACGACAUAUAACAAGAUGUUACAGUUUUUCUCAGUCGCGUUGGUACAUUUCUCAGAUCAGAAUUGAAAUUCUCAAAACUUUUUGGGUUUUUUUCCCCGUUAAAGGGUUUUUUUUGGGGAGUUUUUCCUUAUCCGUUGCGAGGGUCAUAAGGACAGAGGGAUGUCGUAUGCUGUAAAGCCCUGUGAGGCAAAUUGUGAUUUGUGAUAUUGGGCUUUAUAAAUAAAACUGAUUGAUUGAUUGAAAACUACUUCUUCAAUCUUCACAUCAUUGUGUCACUUGUGCACAUCAAAAAAGCAGUUUCUCAUUUCUUUGAACAAGUUGCAAAUGCUUUGGUACAUCCAUGCAAAUGAGUAUGUACAAUUCUCUGCUCUUUCCUACAUUAUCAAUUGCUUAUGUCAUGUUGAUCAAAAUGUAUUAUAAUGGGUCUCUGUUGAAUAGUCUCACCCCCACAACAUUUAGGCAUUAGAUCAUCACAUAAGUCUUUACGUGCAAAAUGGUUGAAUAAGUUGUCAUAAUAUGUCAAGCAUAUUUCUAUACUGUACAUUUCCAUUAGACUUUUUUUCUAAAUCUGUCCUGAACUGGUAAAUUGCUCCCAGGUGAAUCCUGACUUUCUCUAACGAAGGGAAAUGUGUGAAGCAUUAGCUCAACCAAUGAUUUACCAGUUUUCUGAAAUAGCUCAAAGGUGCAUCUCAUGAACCAUCAGCUGGCAAGUAUAUAUAUAUAGCUGAAACACAACACAAUGUUACAAUGUCUGACAAUGGAAGGACAAGGAAUUGGACGGGGUCAACAGCCAGAGAGAAAAAGAAGAGGAAGAGGAGAGAGGCUGCAUGGCGGAGGAGUUUUUUCUUUGUGCUCUGCAGUGCUGUCUUUUCCUUUCUGUAUCGCAAUGACAUGGUCUGUCAACAAAUUACAGUACAAACAGUAAAAGCGUAAAUUUGAAUCUUGUCCAGUCUCUUCAAUCAAUCUCCCACAUACACUAAGGUGUACCUUACAAUUUACAAUGAUUGUCAUCAAAACUUUAGUCAUAGUUUACAUCAGAACAUCCCUCCAGAGUACA